AAUCCAUGAUGUGGACAAGAUCUUAAUAGCACUUUAUACCUUUCCUAGGUGUCUAAAAGGGACUCACCAUCCUGUUGAGUGAACCUAGUAAUUUGGUUACGUAGGAC
This is a small nucleolar RNA of Lathyrus oleraceus (garden pea), 107 nucleotides long. Lineage: Eukaryota; Viridiplantae; Streptophyta; Magnoliopsida; Fabales; Fabaceae. The record is from RefSeq and is a predicted model, not a curated record.